CAGUUUCAUGGUUCAAGAAGUGGAAUAUCAUGCUAUUUUACUCUAUGAUUGUGGUUCUCCAUAGAGCUCUUUUGUGCUUAGGCAAACUGUACUUAAACCUAUAGUUUUACACUUAGCCACUGUGCUUGCUUUGUUUUUAAGGAAGAAGAAACGCUGACUGCUAACAGCUACAACCAAUGCCACUUAUUGCUGCGUUUUGGAUACAUGGUUGCUAAAACAUCAGUUAUUCUGAGACAUCUGGUUCUAGGUGUUUCAAACUAGGAUUGUCAAUUGGUGAAGUCUUCUAAAACACCUAGCUUUGAUGCCUCACUUACUCCUAAUCUGUAAAUGUUCAAUCAAAUACUCAUCCCCCCUCCUCUGCUCCAAGCAUACGGACUGCUGAAAGGCCACUGAAGAAUGACACCUUCACAGCACAGAGAGGCCAAAAGAUGCGUAGCAGGGCACCAUGGGUCCAGAGAACUGCUUUUACGGUGAAGAUGCUGAAGAAGAGAAGCUGCAGAUGUUAUU
Molecule: long non-coding RNA, 507 nt
Filed under: Struthio camelus australis
Lineage: Eukaryota; Metazoa; Chordata; Aves; Struthioniformes; Struthionidae
Description: lncRNA (ENSSCUG00000016679.1)
Source: RNAcentral